This 469-nucleotide ribosomal RNA is filed under the name uncultured bacterium. Its description in RNAcentral is "partial 16S ribosomal RNA". It matches the Rfam family "Bacterial small subunit ribosomal RNA", at positions 28 to 507 of the family's 1533-position model. The record is from RNAcentral.
GAUGAACGCUGGCGGCGUGCUUAACACAUGCAAGUCGAACGGUGAACACGGAGCUUGCUCUGUGGGAUCAAUGGCGAACGGGUGAGUAACACGUGAGCAACCUGCCCCUGACUCUGGGAUAAGCGCUGGAAACGGCGUCUAAUACUGGAUAUGUGACGUGACCGCAUGGUCUGCGUUUGGAAAGAUUUUUCGGUUGGGGAUGGGCUCGCGGCCUAUCAGCUUGUUGGUGAGGUAAUGGCUCACCAAGGCGUCGACGGGUAGCCGGCCUGAGAGGGUGACCGGCCACACUGGGACUGAGACACGGCCCAGACUCCUACGGGAGGCAGCAGUGGGGAAUAUUGCACAAUGGGCGCAAGCCUGAUGCAGCAACGCCGCGUGAGGGAUGACGGCCUUCGGGUUGUAAACCUCUUUUAGCAGGGAAGAAGCGAAAGUGACGGUACCUGCAGAAAAAGCGCCGGCUAACUACGUG